Molecule: small nucleolar RNA, 67 nt
Organism: Labrus bergylta (ballan wrasse)
Lineage: Eukaryota; Metazoa; Chordata; Actinopteri; Labriformes; Labridae
Gene: SNORD58
Rfam family: Small nucleolar RNA SNORD58
About the family: snoRNA U58 is found in introns 1, 3 and 6 of the ribosomal protein RPL17 gene in humans. U58 is a member of the C/D class of snoRNA which contain C (UGAUGA) and D (CUGA) box motifs. Most of the members of the box C/D family function in directing site-specific 2'-O-methylation of substrate RNAs.
Source: Ensembl
UCGCAGUGAUGACAAUUUAGGACACCUUUGUAUUUACCAUGAAAAGAAAUGAGAAUAUCUGAGCGAU